This 253-nucleotide ribosomal RNA is filed under the name uncultured bacterium. RNAcentral's name for it is "partial 16S ribosomal RNA". It matches the Rfam family "Bacterial small subunit ribosomal RNA", at positions 524 to 776 of the family's 1533-position model. The record is from RNAcentral.
UACGGGGGGGGCAAGCGUUGUUCGGAAUUACUGGGCGUAAAGGGCUCGUAGGCGGCCAACUAAGUCAGACGUGAAAUCCCUCGGCUUAACCGGGGAACUGCGUCUGAUACUGGAUGGCUUGAGGUUGGGAGAGGGAUGCGGAAUUCCAGGUGUAGCGGUGAAAUGCGCAGAUAUCGGGAGGAACACCAAUGGCGAAGGCAGCUCGCUGGGACGGUACUGACGCUGAGACGCGAAAGCGUGGGGAGCAAACAGG